CUCAUCUGAAGAAUGGAACCAGCAGCCAUUUCAUACACGUGUGAGGGCCUGAGAAGGCACAGAUCCACUUCCUGACACAAGGUACCCACUCUACCCUCCAGCAGCCCUUGGCUAAACCAAGGGAGCCCCCAUGUUCCCAUCCUCUUCUCAUUCCAGCCACCUUUCCUUCUGAGAGUACCUGAUGCCAGUCAGAGACACAUGCCAGGGCCACCGAGCUAGAAAGUUCACUUCCUGCUGACCUUCCUCUUUCUAUAUGUGGGCCUCCCAAGGGACCAGCUCUCAGAGGUACUUGGGAUCCCUCUGUGUGAAGACAAUACCUGCCCCAGUCUUCCAUCCUGUCCAACCAGACUCCGUUGUACUGGCCAUAGGAGUGGGGCCACAGAGAAGGUCAAUGGGGUCCCUUGCUUGCUGGAAACACACUGAGAAUCUGGAGAACACGGCUAUCCAUAGACCAGACUCCACAUAGACAAAACAGGAACUCAGACACACACUCAAGAGAGACAGAUUUCUAGUGAACCAAGCCUCGCUGGACCUCACAAAUGGGGAUACAAAGUUUUUACUUAAACCUCAAAAUAAACCAAGACGCCAGGAAUUUCCAUACCCACCCUACAGAUGGAGAAACAAUACAAAGUUCUAAACACCUUGUUCAAGAUCACAGAGCAGGAAAAUGAGCCGGCAGGACUCUUACUAUCUUCUUGCAGUGGCCCGAUGGAUACCCCUACAAUGCUCGUCCACCUACUGCUCCCAAAGACAAGUCUCUUUGCUUCCUCCGCCUCAUCCUAAACAAGGUACCUCUUUACAGCGCUUUUCCUUCCUUACCCAACUGAAGCCCACCUCCUCCAGGAAGCCUUCUCUAGUUACCUCAGCUUGUUGCCAGCUUAUAGUACUUCCUACUCUUUUGAUACCUUUUAAUAUCUGAUCAUGUGACCUGCCUCCCCACCCAGAACCCUUCCUCUCUCCACAGCUCCCAACACUGAGGAACUGACUGAGGGGAAACCUAUGACCUCCUUGCCUCUCCAUCAUACAAAGGAUCCUGCAAAGAACGCUGAACACCGCCCCCCCACCCACCUUUGGAGCCUAUGCUUCCUGGUGGCCACACAUCAGUUUCCACCUGAGUAAUUGCAGCCCAUCACACAUACAUCAUCCCCUAUAUUUGAAACUCUUUGAGGUUGUCAUGGGAACUGCCUUCGCCUUCAUUCACUGAUCAGACCUCACAAUUAGCUUUGGCAGCGGAAGGCUUUGUCAGUGGCAAUCACCAGGAGGAGGAAGCAGAGGAGAAGGAACAACAGAAGAAAGAUGGUUUUCCUUGGAGAUCCAGCAGAAGCAGACACAGUGAUGGCACUGCUGAUGCCCUGCUGGACAAAGGGGCCGCACCAAACCACCCUCUCGCUUGCCCGUGACAAGUCAGGUCACAUACCUGAGUCCCUGACAGGUCCUGAUGCUCUACCUGUGCUCCCUGCGUCCUGUCAAUGGUUCUCAACUGUCAUAAUGCUGCGACCUUUUAAUAUAGGGUCAUGUGGUGCUGACCCCCAACCACAACAUUUUCGUUGCUACUUCAUAACGGUAAUUGUACUACUAUUAUGAAUUGUAAUGUAGCUAACUGAUAUGCAGGGUUUCUGAUAUGUCACCGCCCCAAAAGGGUUGAGAAUCACUGGUCUAGAUGCUCAGGAGAAGACAGUGUAUUGACUCAAAUGAAACAGUCUUUCGGACCACCAACUCUUCCAGGAGUCAUCAAAUAGCAGGAAACUAUAUGAUGACCCUAUAGAAAAAGGUUAUGUGUGUAUUACACCUCAGGAACCCAGGGUGGCCUGGAGGAAGGACUUCCAAAAGGAAUGAACAGAGAUUUACCCUGCUUUAAGGAUCUGUGAACACCCUCAAGUGUGCCCAGCUGCCUGCAUCUAGACAUCUCUGCCUUUAGCCUCUUUUGAGCUGCACUCCAGGAGCAGAGGGUCAGGGGAGUCACCGCCCUCCUCAAUCCUUCACAAGACAAUACACUCAAACUCUCAACCCAGCCCACUUCCCUUCCCAGCUGGUCUGAAAGAGGCCCAUUAAGGCUAGACUGUCCUCAAGGCACUCCGCCCUUCCAGCUUUAUAACAGAAUUCUGGUAGGAAAAGGUUUCCUUGGUCUCAUGAAGGAUAAAGGUCACACUGUCCCCUCUACUCCUGGCUCAGGCUCAGUGCCUGGCCUGGCCUACACUAGUCGGAGGAGAAGCCUGCUGGAUGGAGCUAGCCACAGGUUAAGACCACCAGACUCUGGAAACUGAGGCAGCACCAAAGAGGAGCUCUACUUCUCCAGGGAUAGGGACAUUGUAGGUCCAGGGGACUCUAGAAGGUAUGUGUUCUCCUUGCUCUAGUGCUUGCUCUUUUCCUCCUGUCCCAACCCCUCCCUGCACCUCUCCUCACCUUCCCACCCCACCCCCAGGCCUCAAGCAAGAACCUAUCCCUCUCCUAGAGUGCCAGCAUCAAUCCUGGAAUCUUUGGGGGAAUGGAGUUACCCCUAUAGGUACAAGUCAAUAAAAAAGACAGGUGAGAACAGCCCAAGGUCUCCCAGACAUGAAUGCCUCAGAAAUGGAACGCUAUAGUCCAGUACCUGGCCCCUUGCUUUUGAAUCAGCUUCUCCUUGUCCCUUCUGAGGCUUCCUCCAACAAUCAAGAGGGGCAGUGAGGUACAAGGACAGCCACAGUUCUGUCCUGUUGUGAGGACCUGGAUUCAUUGUGCCAUCAGCAGUGGGAGACAUGUAAUUUGUCAACUAAUUGCCAGGGUUUAGCAUUCUGGAACCCCCACAAGUCAGUCAGGUCAGCAAUGCAAACAACAGAGCCAUCUGAGAGCCCUGCCCACCACAUUGCUUGAAGCAAUCAAGCAACCCCCAGACUUGAGUUCACCUGAAAGACAACUGAUGAUCUCACACAGAGCUGCUUUCCCAGGCCCCCAUCACCCACCCCCGUCUCAGUCAUUAGCAGAAACUCAGGCUGUCAACUUCUCAUGUAAAUGGUAGACAAGACCACCAAAGUGUACAUAGUCCAGGAGUGGCAGCAGCUUUGGACCCACACAGAUCACCAGGCAGAGGCCUAACAGACUCUUCCAGAACAACCAACUGGACCACAGCGGGUGCAUGAGGAAGAUAAGGGGGUCUUCACCCCCAACAUCCUCUUCCUGAGCUUUCCACUCUUCUUCUAUAGGCAAAGAAGAGAUGGGGACUAGACAUUGAGUCCCAGAAUGGUUUGUCAGCCCACCUAGCCACCACACCGCCUUCUGCAGGAGACAGCCUAAGGCAGAGGGAUGACUCUGGGCUGGGCUGGGCUGUGAACAAGUACGUGCAGGAGAAGUUAACUUGAACAAUGUUCCCCGAGGCUUUGAUCAGGACUAGGUGGAAGGGUCCUAGUAGGGCGUCUCACCGCACUGGAUCCCACUGCUGCACUAAAGAAAAACAUAGUCAUGCCUUCCAGAAUGGUUUCUGAAGUAGGCUAGAAUCAGAAGAAGAUUGUUCUCUUCUAUACCACAGCCAUGAUUCCCAGCCCAAAAGGCCAUUUCCUCAACCUGAAAGAGGCUGUGAUGAGGAUGGAUCUGGGGACCACACAAGGACACCCUCUGUCUAGCUCCUAGCUCUGCCCAAUGGCUCUUCAAUACUGCUUUCUUCUUGAGACAGGGUCUUAGUAUAUAGCGGAGACUGGCCUGGAACUCACCAUGAAAGAGGCUGGACUACAGAAAGAGUUAAGCCAACCUCCAGCUCAGGAGUCCUUUCUGCUUCUACCUCCCAAGUGCUGGGAUUACAGGUAUGAGCCACCGCUCUCCCAUUCUUUCUCUGCACUGUCCAACCUGAGCCAUUAGCCGUAUGCAGCUGAGCGGUUAGAAGGCAGCUAUUGCGACCACUGCUGUAAUUUUAAUUUUAACUUAAAUAGCCAUCCAUGGUUUAUGGAUCUCACAUUGGAUGGCUCAGAUAGAGCACGCUUUUAAAGCCUGGAAUGGCCAUGAGUAUUCUAGGGAAUGUACUACAAACCAAAUACUGUCUCCCCAGGAAGAGAUCCUGUUGCACAUUCAAGAGAAAUUCAGCUGAACCUUUCAGAAAGCUCACAAGCCUGACCUCAACCCAGAUCUGAAACUAAGUCUUGUUAUAGGAUAAAGCCUAGGGCUGGGGUAUAGCUUAGGCAUAAAGUACUCACUUGUCUAAUGUGUUUGAGUUCUAAUUCCCUGCAUGACAAGAGAAAUUAGGGAGCUAGAGAGGUGGCUCCAUUCAGCAAAGUGCUUGCUGUCCAAACAUGAGGAUCCGAGUUUUGAUCUCCAGAACCUACAGCACCCACAUGACAGCCCAGCUUUGAUGCUGCUCUAGCACUGGAGACAGGAUCCUUCUUGGGGGUGGCUGGACAACCAGUCUAUCUGAAUCUUCAGUUACUGAAUCUGAAGACUGUCACAAAAGAAAUAAAAGGGUUGGCCUAGAGACAUGGCUCAGUGGUUAAGAACACGGAGGUUCACUUCCCAGCACCCACAUGUCAGCUAACAACUAUCUUUAACUCUGGUCCAGGGGAUAUGAUACCACCCUUUUCUGGCCUCCACAGACACUGGGCACACACAUGAUGCACAGACAUACACGCAAGUGAAACACCCAUAUACAUAAAAAAAAUAUACAUUUAAAAUAAGGUGGACAGAUCAUGGUAGCAAGAGACAAAAGGGUUCUCUGAGUUCAAGGCCAGCUUAAACCACCUUCAUGAAUUCCAGACCAGUCAGGUCUAUUUAGUGAGAUGCUAUCUCUAAAUAGAAGGUGGACAUCAAUUGAGGAAGACAUUCGAUGUUGAUCAUUGGCCUCUGUGAGUGCAUGUGCACUCACACACAAUCACUCACACACACACACACACACACACACACACACACACACACUACAAAAAUGUGACCAAAAAUGCUAUGGCCCAGGAUAGAUAUUUCUUUUGCAAGGAAGCGGUCUUAGGAAUAUGAAACAACACCUUAUGUUCCCUUCCCACAGACCCUGAAGAUCUCUCCCUCCCUUCUGAUAGCAUCACCAGUCAGCACCCAGCCUCUAUCCAGACACAUGCAAGCACAGGAAACAGCACCCCUCAGACAGCUAACAGUGUAGGAAAAACUGUAAACACACAUUCCUUUUUUCUACCAUGGCUUCAGUUGCCCGCUUAGAAGCUACUAACAGAAGGCCUGUAGACGCCUCCACAGGAAGGAACUGGCUCCUCUUCCACACAACGUUUGUUCUUCCACUCGUUUCUAAGUGACUAGCCCCAUUUCCUUUGAUUGUCCUAUAUGUGACCACUGCGACAGGUCUCAAGAUAGGCAGACAGAAUCCUUUACUGAGUCCCAGCUCUUUCCACCUGGUCAGGAAGCCAAGCCCUGACACGUGCAGCUCUUUUUAAAACAAGCCCAAGAGGGCUGGACAAAUGGCUCAGGCAUUAGGAGCAUUUGUUCUUACAGAGGCCCCAGGUUCGAUUCCUAGUACUCAUGCAAUGGUUUGAAACCAUCCAUGGUUCCAGUUCCAAGAGGAUCCAACACCCUCUUCUGACCUCUGAGGGCACCAGGCAUGCACAUGAGAAAGGAGGCAGAACACUCGUACACAGAAAUUAUUUUAAGAAGUGAAACAAGUCUAGGCCUUUCCACUUAAGUCCCUCUGACUUUGGCCGAGCCUUGCUGCUUAGGCUGCUGCAGUCUCUUCAGCCCUUUGUCCUAUCUUACAGUCACUUCCUCAUCGGCCAACACCCACUCAUGAUCUGCUGUACAAUCUCAGACCCUUCAACCAGACCCAAGAUUCCACAGACAUACCCCUCCCUCUGUUAACCACCAUUUAUGACCUGUGGGCCUCCCUCAUUUAUUACCUCCCUCAUCAGGUUUUCCAGCAGCAAACAUCUGAGAGCCUUCCUGGCUAUUUUCAGAUUGCACCCAAGUCCUUAAACAGUACCACCCCAAACUCACUAGCCCAAGGCACUCCAGAGGAAUGAGAACACAGAGGCAGUCCUGGAUCGGGUUCCCCUUUCCUGGUUGGCAACUAGAAUCCUGUGCCUGACUGUGAGUUAUUUUGCCCCCUUCCCCCUGCCCCAUACCUUCUUCUCCUUGUCUCACAGUGUUAAGAGAUUUACUCUUCAAAUUCUAAUGGUUAUAUAAACCACCUGGGUAUCUGGCCCAACUACAGAUUUGGGUGUAAAAGGUCUGGGAUAAGACCAGAGAUUCUGCAUUCUGUAACAAGCUCUGGAAAACGCUGCAGAUCAGCUGUAUAGCAAGGUAGAAGGGAAGCUAAACCACUUGGUGCGCUGCGACUCUGGUGAGAGCCUUGCCUCUGUAUGCAGCAGAGGGUCUCCACCCUGCACAGCAGAUUUGCUUCAAGAGCCUCAGGCCAGUCAACUCGGCUCUAGGUCGGUUAGGCAGGUGGGAACCCACGCCCUACAAGUGUAACAUUUCCCCAGGUGACCCCAGUGUGGAGUCCCCAUCCACACUGGACGAUGGAACAGGCAGUAAAGCCUGUCAGUUCUGUCCAGGAGGUUUCAAGAGAGAAUCAUUUCUCUGCAGAAACCCAGAUCUUAGCUUCUCUAGGCUGCUUGCUAAGGAACCAUGGGCAUUCCCAUAGCCCAUUGCUAGCCUAAGUUUCACUUCUCUCAAGUAACACCACCACCCUGUCAAUAAUCUGCUCUAGAACUAUCAAAAAUUAACUAUUAUAUUUACAAUUUCCAAACCACUGGGAAAAAACUGGACUUCCUGCCAGUCCUAACCUGCCCUUCGGUCACUUAACACCAUAAUUCUGUAAAGACUGAGGACUUGGAGCACUCAGUAAAAUGUGCAGUAGGGAGCAAAUGGUCAGUGGUGACCGGCUCUCCUUCCCCAGUAUAAACCCCCUAGCACCCAGGGACCCAAUGGCUGCUUUUCCUGCCCCUAAUUAUGCUCCCCAAGUUGGAGGCCUCCUUCACUUCCUUCUCCUUGCUAUACAGAGAAACUGCUGUCAUACGCAUUUCCUACUAGGCAUAGUACAUUCUGGCUACUUGCCUCCCAGUUUGCCUGGGAAGGCUCAGACUGCUCCUGAACCUUCCAUGUCACAAACCCCCAGUGGGCACAACCUUGACCAUCUGUACACUUGACCAUAAUGUGUCAUCACACAAAUGGCUCAGUUAGGCUUGGGCCCCCUUCACUAUCCUUAUCACAUUUCCUUUUGUAAAAAACACUCCCUUCCCUCCACUGACUGUCCUUAUUGAGUCUGUGGCUAUGGGGUUAAAAACAGUAUCUCGAUUUUCUGGUCUUCUGGCCCAGCCUUUUCUCAGGCCUCAAACAUCUGGGUGGGCUUUUUUUUUUUUUUUUUUUUUUUUUUUUAAAGAAUCUCAUCACCUAGCUUACUUACUCUAGCCAUCUCUCCCUUUGCUGAACACCAUCCUCUGGAAACUGAACUCCCAAAUGGCUUAGCAAGAACCCACCAUGUUUCUGACAUUGCUGAAAGACUGCCUAAGCCUGGAAAGCUGACACAGAUGCACACAGCUGAUGGCUAACAAGGACCCUCUAACCACAGACCAUUUAUCCGCUGUGGUCCGUACAGUUCUUCAGCUUCCAACCUAAUGCAUGUAUUUUUCUGUACAGAUUCACUUCUCCUGCUUACUCAGGUCUUUGCUUCCUUAGCCUAUGCCCAAGGCCAUGGCACCUUGUUCCUGGGGUAGAGACAUCCCCUUCCUAUGCCUGGCUGCAAAGUCCUGUUCUACAUUGUUCCAAGCCAGGGGAUGUCUCAAGAUAAACAUUUAAUGUGUGUUUACAGGCUUACAAGUCAGUCAGACUAGUGUACAGUUGUUAAUAUGUAAAGCCUAAUCCUGCCGCUGUGUGUCAGAGAAGUUGCAUUUUCUAUCUUACAUUUUAUCCUUCUGAGAUUCUGAGAUUCACAACCAAGAAAACCAAUGCCAGAGGGUUUUACUCUGUCACCCUAUGGUGCCACAUACUCAGUCGACUAAAGAGGCAUGCCUUUAUUAAAGUGAAAAGGAUGUAAAUCAAACAAACUCAGACACCAGCCUAAGCUCUGGGUUUUUUCUGGAAUUAGGAAUGGAGACUACAGUCCUGUCACACCUACUGCCAACCCAGAGAAGCAACCACCUGCUCCUGGGAAUCCAUCUUUAAUCUUUAAAUUCUGAACUACUGAGUCCAAGGAUUCUGGCACACCCUUCCCAAAGCCCACUGGGAAAAAAAGAAAGCCAAGUAGAGAAGAGAAAACCACAGGAUAAGCUUCCCCUCCCAUGGCCCUUCUAGGAUAGUACCAAGUCGCUGUGCUGUCAGCAGACAACAUAAGAGAAACCCCAAAGGCAGCUGGGAGAGUUGAGUCAGGAUGGCGUUAAGGAUGUCCGGAGGACUGGAAACCCCAAGGAGUACAGAUAAAAGCAGAUGGUAGGACCUCUUGAGGCUCUGCAGAGGGAGUGUCCCACCAUACCUGAGGAGUCAGGCCAAAAGGAAAAAAAAAAAAAAAGACCUCACCAGUCCUGGGACACAUUUGGUCUGCUAAGCACUGCAAAGAUCAGAUGAUUAAGGUCCCUGCGGUCCCCUGGGGCUGCUAAACACUUUGCUCCCGAAGAGUCUGUCAGGCGCGUCUCAGCCCUUGAAUGUGCCAGAGACAAGCCCAUUAGGUGGAGUUGCUGGCUAGAUAGAUAGCUGUUCUCAGACUUUCAGGCCUUUAUUUGUUCUGUUUUGUUUUUCCAAAGGAGAGUUACUAGUUACCUUUUUAAAAAUCAAGCAAAGACAAAAGGAAAAAAAAAGAGAGAAAGAAAACCUUUCUUCAAAGUUUAAAUAUCAAUGUGAAGGAAUCCAACGAGACCACUGCUCUUUGAAAAAAGAAAAGUCAGGGUCACCACCAAGAGGAUGGGGAAAGGCGCUGGCUGCAAAGCCUCAGGACCCAAGUUUGAUCCUCAGAACUCACAAGGUAGAAGGAAGAGAACAGACGCUCAUGCUGUUUUGACCUUCACUAGGCACUGUGGUGUGGAAAUACACACAAAUAAACAUAACAAAAUAGUUGGCCUUACGAAAAAACUCUUUCCAUCAUCCCCACUACACUGUUUCUUCAGAAACUGGAAGCAAGCCCUGGUCCACAAACCUACAUACGUGUAGAUGUCCUGGGUACGGCAGGGUGUCCAGCUACAUUUUUACCUGGCCUAGAGUAGCCACCAACCACGGUGAGGUCUGCCUAGUGUGCAGACUUCUCAGGGCUGUCUCUAAGCCUCGGUCAACCCAGGUCCACAGUAUUUCUACCAUGACCACUGGGCAACCCGGCAGCAGCUUUCUCAAGAGGACAGAGGCCCUGGCUUCAUCCCCAGCUCCUUUGAUCCACUGUUGCCAAAACAGGCACUUAAUGACAUCCACAAAUGUCACAAGAAUAUCUAGUCCAUAGGGUUUGGCAUCUUUACCCUUGAGUCUGUCAGGAGUGGAGAGAGAACGGGAAAUAGGAAGCUCGCAUUAGGAAGCGGUGCAACACACCAGGCUGUUCUAA
Molecule: small RNA, 9451 nt
Filed under: Rattus norvegicus (Norway rat)
Lineage: Eukaryota; Metazoa; Chordata; Mammalia; Rodentia; Muridae
Description: uncharacterized LOC102548361
Source: RNAcentral